AUAACAUUUGGAAACAGAUGCUAAUACCGCAUAACAAUUUGAAUCGCAUGAUUCAAAUUUAAAAGGUGGCUUCGGCUAUCACUUUGGGAUGGACCUGCGGCGCAUUAGCUUGUUGGUAGGGUAACGGCCUACCAAGGCUGUGAUGCGUAGCCGAGUUGAGAGACUGAUCGGCCACAAUGGAACUGAGACACGGUCCAUACUCCUACGGGAGGCAGCAGUAGGGAAUCUUCCACAAUGGGCGCAAGCCUGAUGGAGCAACACCGCGUGAGUGAAGAAGGGUUUCGGCUCGUAAAGCUCUGUUGUUAGAGAAGAACGUGCGUGAGAGCAACUGUUCACGCAGUGACGGUAUCUAACCAGAAAGUCACGGCUAACUACGUGCCAGCAGCCGCGGUAAUACGUAGGUGGCAAGCGUUAUCCGGAUUUAUUGGGCGUAAAGCGAGCGCAGGCGGUUUGAUAAGUCUGAUGUGAAAGCCUUUGGCUUAACCAAAGAAGUGCAUCGGAAACUGUCAGACUUGAGUGCAGAAGAGGACAGUGGAACUCCAUGUGUAGCGGUGGAAUGCGUAGAUAUAUGGAAGAACACCAGUGGCGAAGGCGGCUGUCUGGUCUGCAACUGACGCUGAGGCUCGAAAGCAUGGGUAGCGAACAGGAUUAGAUACCCUGGUAGUCCAUGCCGU
Molecule: ribosomal RNA, 674 nt
Filed under: uncultured bacterium
Lineage: Bacteria
Description: bacterial SSU rRNA
Rfam family: Bacterial small subunit ribosomal RNA
Source: RNAcentral